This 1350-nucleotide ribosomal RNA is filed under the name Helochares sp. SLE0240. RNAcentral describes it as "SSU rRNA". It matches the Rfam family "Eukaryotic small subunit ribosomal RNA", at positions 432 to 1698 of the family's 1831-position model. The record is from RNAcentral. Lineage: Eukaryota; Metazoa; Arthropoda; Insecta; Coleoptera; Hydrophilidae.
GCGCGCAAAUUACCCACUCCCGGCACGGGGAGGUAGUGACGAAAAAUAACGAUACGGGACUCAUCCGAGGCCCCGUAAUCGGAAUGAGUACACUCUAAACCCUUUAACGAGGAUCAAUUGGAGGGCAAGUCUGGUGCCAGCAGCCGCGGUAAUUCCAGCUCCAAUAGCGUAUAUUAAAGUUGUUGCGGUUAAAAAGCUCGUAGUCGAAUCUGUGUCUCGCGCCGCCGGUUCAUCGCUCGCGGUGUUUAACUGGCGUGCCGCGGGACGUCCUGCCGGUGGGCUUAGCCCCGGUUCGUCCGGGGCGGCCCAACAUCAAAUCCCACCGCGGUGCUCUUCACUGAGUGUCGAGGUGGGCCGGCACGUUUACUUUGAACAAAUUAGAGUGCUUAAAGCAGGCUCAAACUUCGCCUGAAUACUGUGUGCAUGGAAUAAUGGAAUAGGACCUCGGUUCUAUUUUGUUGGUUUUCGGAACCCCGAGGUAAUGAUUAAUAGGAACGGACGGGGGCAUUCGUAUUGCGACGUUAGAGGUGAAAUUCUUGGAUCGUCGCAAGACGAACAGAAGCGAAAGCAUUUGCCAAGAACGCUUUCAUUGAUCAAGAACGAAAGUUAGAGGUUCGAAGGCGAUCAGAUACCGCCCUAGUUCUAACCAUAAACGAUGCCAGCUAGCGAUCCGCCGACGUUCCUCCGAUGACUCGGCGGGCAGCUUCCGGGAAACCAAAGCUUUUGGGUUCCGGGGGAAGUAUGGUUGCAAAGCUGAAACUUAAAGGAAUUGACGGAAGGGCACCACCAGGAGUGGAGCCUGCGGCUUAAUUUGACUCAACACGGGAAACCUCACCAGGCCCGGACACCGGAAGGAUUGACAGAUUGAGAGCUCUUUCUUGAUUCGGUGGGUGGUGGUGCAUGGCCGUUCUUAGUUGGUGGAGCGAUUUGUCUGGUUAAUUCCGAUAACGAACGAGACUCUAGCCUGCUAACUAGGCGUAUUUUCGACAUCUCAAAGGCCCGCCGGCUCGGCACUCUAGUGUCGCGGUCGCGCGCGGUUUUUACUGUCGGCGUACAAUCAAUUCUUCUUAGAGGGACAGGCGGCUUCUAGCCGCACGAGAUUGAGCAAUAACAGGUCUGUGAUGCCCUUAGAUGUUCUGGGCCGCACGCGCGCUACACUGAAGGAAUCAGCGUGUCCUCCCUGGCCGAGAGGCCCGGGUAACCCGCUGAACCUCCUUCGUGCUAGGGAUUGGGGCUUGCAAUUGUUCCCCAUGAACGAGGAAUUCCCAGUAAGCGCGAGUCAUAAGCUCGCGUUGAUUACGUCCCUGCCCUUUGUACACACCGCCCGUCGCUACUACCGAUUGAAUGAUU